RNAcentral lists this ribosomal RNA (253 nucleotides) under uncultured bacterium. RNAcentral's name for it is "partial 16S ribosomal RNA". It matches the Rfam family "Bacterial small subunit ribosomal RNA", at positions 524 to 776 of the family's 1533-position model. The record is from RNAcentral.
UACGGAGGGGGCUAGCGUUGUUCGGAAUUACUGGGCGUAAAGCGCACGUAGGCGGCUUUGUAAGUUAGAGGUGAAAGCCCGGGGCUCAACUCCGGAAUUGCCUUUAAGACUGCAUCGCUAGAAUUGUGGAGAGGUAAGUGGAAUUCCGAGUGUAGAGGUGAAAUUCGUAGAUAUCGGGAGGAACACCGGUGGCGAAGGCGGCCUUCUGGUCGGAUACUGACGCUAAAACGCGAAAGCGUGGGGAGCAAACAGG